Molecule: non-coding RNA, 76 nt
Submitted as: unclassified sequences
Source: Rfam
AAGACAGCCUAGGAGUCUAUAAAAUAUGUGCUGACGAGACUAGGACGAAACUAUCCUCAGUUGAGGAUAGUCCACU